Long non-coding RNA from Colias croceus (clouded yellow), 613 nucleotides. RefSeq lists it as uncharacterized. The transcript is spliced from 2 exons. The record is from RefSeq and is a predicted model, not a curated record. Lineage: Eukaryota; Metazoa; Arthropoda; Insecta; Lepidoptera; Pieridae.
CAUUGUAGGCAAUCGUAUAGUAAUCAUGUUUUGAAGGCUCCCGGUACCAAAAUAAAGUAAGAUUAUUUUGUGAACUCAACAAAACGUACCCAUAUUAGGUUGUUAAUAUAAAAAUGGCGGUGUCCUCGUAAUAAUAUCUAAAAUUUGGAUAAAUCAAAUUGAAAAAUUGCGAAAGAUAAGUAAUAUGCAUUAAAGAAUGCAUGAAAGAGGCAUGAAAGAGCAAUUGAAAUAGCAAGUUGUGUUGAUUGCCGGCUUGCCCAAACAUUGAACAAGGAAGUACCGGCUUGGGAGAUGUUCAUUGUUCAUGUGGUAGUGAGAACUUCAAGUUGGGGGAGGCGCCACCAUGUCUACACUUAAAAUAUUCAUAUUUGUAUCAUACAUCUGAAAAUGUAAAUGUAAAAGUAUACAUAAGUACUGCAAGUUUUUAAAUGAUUUAUCAACUCUUUAUUAUGCAAAUACAAUAAUUGAUUUAAAUUUAAAAUAAAAAUAUACCUAAAUACCAUUAAACUAUUAGUGUAGGAAUUAUUCAUUGUGAUGUAAAUACAAAGUUUUUGUUUAUUGCAUUUUAAGUUUUAAAGGCUGGUAUUAUAAAUAAAAAUUUAAUUUUUUUUAA